Molecule: ribosomal RNA, 253 nt
Filed under: uncultured bacterium
Lineage: Bacteria
Description: partial 16S ribosomal RNA
Rfam family: Bacterial small subunit ribosomal RNA
Source: RNAcentral
UACGUAGGGUGCGAGCGUUGUCCGGAAUUAUUGGGCGUAAAGGGCUCGUAGGCGGUCUGUCGCGUCGGGAGUGAAAACUCAGGGCUUAACCCUGAGCCUGCUUCCGAUACGGGCAGACUAGAGGUAUGCAGGGGAGAACGGAAUUCCUGGUGUAGCGGUGGAAUGCGCAGAUAUCAGGAGGAACACCGGUGGCGAAGGCGGGUCUCUGGGCCGUAACUGACGCUGAGGAGCGAAAGCAUGGGGAGCGAACAGG